Molecule: ribosomal RNA, 914 nt
Filed under: uncultured archaeon
Lineage: Archaea
Description: bacterial SSU rRNA
Rfam family: Archaeal small subunit ribosomal RNA
Source: RNAcentral
UCCGGUUGAUCCUGCCGGAGGCUACCGCUAUUGGAGUUCGAUUAAGCCAUGCGAGUCGAGAGUCCUCGGGACUCGGCGCACCGCUCAGUAACACGUGGGUAACCUGCCCUAUGCUGGGGAAUAACCUCGGGAAACUGAGAAUAAUGCCCCAUAGCCCACUACGCCUGGAACGGUGAGUGGGUCAAAGCUCCGGCGGCAUAGGAUGGGCCUGCGCCGUAUCAGGUUGUAGGGGGUGUAAAGUACCCUCUAGCCAUCAACGCGUACGGGUGUUGGGAGACAUUGCCCGGAGAUGGAUUCUGAGACACGAAUCCAGACCCUACGGGGUGCAGCAGGCGCGAAAACUUGGCAAUGCGAGCAAUCGUGACCAGGGAACUCCAAGUGCGUAGGGUAAGACCUACGCUUUUCUUGACUCUUCAAAGGUCUUGGAAUAAGGGGUGGGUAAGGACGGUGCCAGCCGCCGCGGUAAUACCGGCGCCUCAAGUGGUAGUCGCUUUUAUUGGGCCUAAAACGUCCGUAGCCGGUCUGGUGCAUUCGUGGGUAAAUCAACCCGCUCAACGGGUUGAAUUCUGCGAGCACGGCCAGACUUGGGACCGGGAGAGGUGUGGGGUACUCUCAGGGUAGGGGUAAAAUCCUGUCAUCCUGAGAGGACCACCUGUUGCGAAGGCGCCACACUAGAACGGAUCCGACGGUCAGGGACGAAACCUAGGGGCACGAACCGGAUUAGAUACCCGGGUAGUCCUAGGUGUAAACGCUGUGGACUUGAUGUUGGGGGCGCUCCGAGCGCUUUCAGUGUCGAAGCGAAGGUGAUAAGUCCACUGCCUGGGGAGUACGGUCGCAAGGCUGAAACUUAAAGGAAUUGGCGGGGGAGCACUGCAACCUGAGGAUUGUGCGGUUUAAUUGGAUUCAACGCCGGG